CCUGGGGUGGUAGGAGGUAAAUUAGGGUUACUAAGGAGGGAGAGGAUAACCUGAAAAUCACGUCCUGCAGUUGUUUGAGCUCAAACGCCACCCGGCGCGGCACAUCAACAGUACGCAUAUAGGAUGGGUAACACCGCCUACUUAAAUCACCGCAUUUCAACAAAAACGAGCGUGGCGAGAUUGUCAUGUGUCAGCAAUGGCGACCACUUUCUGACAUAACCACUGUAAAGGACCCUGUGGUGAUGCCUGCAGCCCCUCGGCAACAUCAAAAGGAUGAGCUUGUUCAGAAUGACUACAGCUGAAUCACAUGUCCAACCCCAGGGACAGAACACGACCUGGUGUAGAGGGACAUCACUUUCAAAGAGCACCUGACCUUUUGGUGGAACAUUCACGCAGGCUGAACCCAUCCAUUCCCAGGAGGUCUCACUUAAAUUCAUGACUCUCACAGCAACUCUCACAUGUCAAACGUGUCUAAUCAGCCAAAGUGACUCUCAGGUGACAUCACAGUGUCACACGAAGGGCAGCAUUUUUUCCUUUGAGGAACUUGCCAGAGAGUAGACUGUCCUCUAAUCAAAAAACAACUGGUUUAAACCCCCACAAUAGCCACAGUUUAUUAUCAAGCUGUGGCCCACUCAUUCUCAGGAUAUGAAUGACGUUCUUACAGAAUAGUUGCUUACAACUAAAAAUGUGUGUCAACUCCAAUUAUAUUACUCUACUUUCACAUUAAAAUAUAACAUAAGAAAAGAUGUAAUAAAACUUACAGCAGUAAAAGAUACAAAGAAGAGUGUCCUAUAUUCCAGAUCAGGAUCAAUAUAUCACCUUUUUAACAAUGUGGGUGUGUGUUUAGGGACUACUGUCCACUUACACAAAUAUGUGCUUUAUUAUGGCUACACUACUAUGUUUAAAUAGUUUUAUUAAUCACAUCACUGCCACCUUUGCCUUGUAAUUUUGACUUUAAUUGCUUGUAAAGUUAGUAAUUUUACAUCUUGUCAUUAUUAUUAUAGUUUUAUAUACCUCUAAUUGUUUUUUUUAUCAUUAUUUGCUUUUAUAAUCUGUACUUAUUUUUGUUCUUAUAACACCAGAAUUUCUACCUUAUGGGAUCUAUAAAGAUUUAGCUUAUCGCAAGCUUGUAUUGCAGUACUACUGUUGAACCACCAGGGGUCACUGUGGACCUAUUAUACACUGCAAAGGCGUCUCCUAGCCGGAUCCGAGGACAGCAGACAGGAGACAGACAGACAGACAGACAGACAGGCUGCUGGUCCUUACAGCAAUUAGUUAGUAAUGGUCUGAUAUUAAGGCAAGUUAUAGUACGUUUCCCCACAAUGAACUGAAUGUAAAUCCCGAAUAAUGCUGCAAGAUACUGUAACUAUUCUAACCCAUAACUAUCCUCCAUUCUACCACACACACACACACACACACACACACACACACUCACACACACACACACACACACACACACACACACACACACACACACACACACACACACACACACACACACACACACACACACCAGUGGUCCCAGCCUGAUUGUGUCAGGGCUGCAGUGAUUUAUAACCUUACACUUUCGUACUGAAACUGAACACCUUUGCACUAAAUUAAAUAUGACCCGUUUCACUGCAGUCAUUUGAUGUCCUUGUCAGUGUUGAAAACGAGUUGUAAUCACCAUUAAACUAGAUUACAGUAAUCUAAAAGAAAUACAAGUCUGCAAUUGGUUGGAAAAAAAGAAGAAAUUCUGCUGAGAAGGUGUCUUGCUUUGGCUUCAGGGUUGAAAACGCGGAGUUGGGCUCGAAUUUUUAUUUUAUCUAUAACCCUCCCUCCCUUUAAUGUUGCUACCUUGCUGAUGAGGGUAAAACCAAAGCAGUUCUCUGAGUGCAAAAUCCCUGCAGACGGCUGAGUGAAGAUACGAUAUGACCCGCAGAGCUCUAUGUAGUGUUGUGGUGAGAGAGAGAAUAGAGUGUGUGUAGGGACAGUGGGUGUGUGGAAUACCGUUAAAGGGACAAAUAUCGACUUGCGAGAUUAAGUUCCCCUUAC
This is a long non-coding RNA of Dicentrarchus labrax (European seabass), 2034 nucleotides long. RefSeq lists it as uncharacterized. The record is from RefSeq and is a predicted model, not a curated record. Lineage: Eukaryota; Metazoa; Chordata; Actinopteri; Moronidae. The transcript has 3 exons.